UAUAAUAAAGUCGCUUCAAAAUGAAAGAUAAAACAUGGAGAGAACUCAAGAAACCAAAAAUAAAUGAGUAAUGAAAGAACUUUAAGACCACAAAUUCUGGUUAGAGUAGAGAGAGGGGAAGGGGAAGGGGAAGGGAGGAAAAAUAUGAAGAUGGAAGGAGAAAGGGAGUGAGAGGGAGAAGAUGGAAUAGGUGCGGGAGAGUGGGAGGGAGAGGGAGAUAUUUUUAUUUUAUUUAGUAUUUUCAAUUUUGUAGUUAAAUUAAGAUUGAAUAAUUGUUUUUUAUCAACAUAUGUCGCUUCUUAUUGGUCGCAAGGGUUUUUUUUUAACAGAUGUAACAAUAAGGGCCAACAUUGGCUAAUGAGUUAUAGUUUAGGUAUUCGGUUUAACCUAAAAAUAGG
RNAcentral lists this long non-coding RNA (398 nucleotides) under Gossypium raimondii (Peruvian cotton). Its description in RNAcentral is "long non-coding RNA (GRAI_LNC001246)". Lineage: Eukaryota; Viridiplantae; Streptophyta; Magnoliopsida; Malvales; Malvaceae. The record is from RNAcentral.